AUGUGGUAUUUAUCGAUCCUUAUAUUAGAAAGACAAAAUCAAAUGAAUAUCUCAAUGCUUCAUUGUCACAAAAGAAACGGAAACGAAAUAAAUUUUCAAUCCGUAUAAAUCUUCAGAAAAAGAUUUGGGUGCAUCCUAAAUUCAGGGCUAGAUUCAGAAAACAAAAAGAGCACCAAGAUUCUCUCAAUUAAUCACAGGAUGUUUUGUAGCACAAACAAUUCUCAUAGAAGCAUGUCUGGUGCCCAACAAGUGUUUGUGUUCGACACAUGCAAUUACAUGUAAGUGUCGAGUCCGGUGUCAUGCUUGAUAGGGAGGAUGGUUUUUCAUAUGGUUCAUAAUGUCGAAUUUUGAAACCACUGAAUUUUUAAUCAUAGUUUGCAAGUGCUGUAGUUCAAUUAAUAGACUGUCAUAUUGUAAAUUUUAGCCACUUUCAUAGAGAAGAAUGAAGGAUUUUCUAAGAUUGUCCCAAACGUGUAUGUUAAAAAUGAAACUCAAGUGCAUUGCAGAGUGGUAAACUUUUAUAUCAAAUUCUUAAUUAUAUGAGAAGAGUUGGGAAUAAAAGAAACUCAU
This 570-nucleotide long non-coding RNA is filed under the name Medicago truncatula (barrel medic). RNAcentral's name for it is "lncRNA gene37101". The record is from RNAcentral. Lineage: Eukaryota; Viridiplantae; Streptophyta; Magnoliopsida; Fabales; Fabaceae.